UAUCAGUUUCUUGUACGCAUGCAAAUAAGUUGUUUUGCCAGUACUACUACUUACUAGCUGUUCCAUGAUAUGCUUUAGCAUGAUUGAACCAUGUGUAAUUGAAGAUGGGACCCCAAUCAAACAAUGGAAAUCCACAAAAAGGAUGCUGCCGAACACAUUCAACGCUUCCAGUGAGAAGUCGACACCUCAGUGAUCACUAGGGACGAAGCCAGGUAAUGGGCCAUAUAUAUGUCCAGUGCCAGAUCUUCGUUUUUAGUUUUUUAUUUUAUUUUAAAAGCACUGCCUAUUCAGUUAAGAUAACAACGACGAGCAUAGUUUGUAUACACCGGGUAUUUUGCUAUUCCAGAAUGAGAAGGGUCGUUGUCUCUUUCCAUCGUGUACAGUGGCUAUCUUGCUCAGUGAACAAACAUGAAGUAAAUGAAGUUGUUUAACUUCAUUUACUUCAUGUUAUAUGUAAU
This 458-nucleotide long non-coding RNA is filed under the name Hordeum vulgare. RNAcentral's name for it is "long non-coding RNA (HVUL_LNC006618)". The record is from RNAcentral. Lineage: Eukaryota; Viridiplantae; Streptophyta; Magnoliopsida; Poales; Poaceae.